GAUGAACGCUAGCGGCAGGCUUAAUACAUGCAAGUCGAGGGGCAGCAGGACUGUAGCAAUACAGUUGCUGGCGACCGGCAAACGGGUGCGGAACACGUACGCAACCUACCCAAAACUGGGGGAUAGCCCGGGGAAACCCGGAUUAAUACCUCGUAACCUUUUUAAGUGGCAUCACUUGAUAAGUAUAGCUCCGGCGGUUUUGGAUGGGCGUGCGCCUGAUUAGGUAGUUGGUGCGGGUAACGGCCCACCAAGCCUGCGAUCAGUAACUGGUGUGAGAGGACGACCAGUCACACGGGCACUGAGACACGGGCCCGACUCCUACGGGAGGCAGCAGUAAGGAAUAUUGGUCAAUGGACGCAAGUCUGAACCAGCCAUGCCGCGUGAAGGAUGAAGGUCCUCUGGAUUGUAAACUUCUUUUAUGGGGGACGAAACCCGGAUAUUCUUAUCCGAUUGACGGUACCUCAGGAAUAAGCACCGGCUAACUCCGUG
Molecule: ribosomal RNA, 489 nt
Filed under: uncultured bacterium
Lineage: Bacteria
Description: partial 16S ribosomal RNA
Rfam family: Bacterial small subunit ribosomal RNA
Source: RNAcentral